This 323-nucleotide ribosomal RNA is filed under the name uncultured bacterium. RNAcentral's name for it is "bacterial SSU rRNA". It matches the Rfam family "Bacterial small subunit ribosomal RNA", at positions 28 to 334 of the family's 1533-position model. The record is from RNAcentral.
GAUGAACGCUGGCGGCGUGCCUAACACAUGCAAGUCGAACGGAGUUGUGCAUCGGAAGUUUUCGGAUGGAAGAAGCAGAACUUAGUGGCGGACGGGGGAGUAACGCGUGGGCAACCUGCCGUAUACAGGGGGAUAACAGUUGGAAACAACUGCUAAUACCGCAUAAGCGCACACUGUCGCAUGACAGAGUGUGAAAAUUUCCGGAGGUAUACGAUGGACCCGCGUCUGAUUAGCCAGUUGGCAGGGUAACGGCCUACCAAAGCAACGAUCAGUAGCCGGCCUGAGAGGGUGGACGGCCACAUUGGGACUGAGACACGGCCCAA